UGCAAGUCGAGCGCGAAGCAGUCUUCGGACUGUGGAAAGCGGCGGACGGGUGCGUAACACGUGGGAAGCUACCUUGAAGUGGGGGAUAGCCAUUGGAAACGAUGGGUAAUACCGCAUACGCCCGAAAGGGGAAAGAUUUAUCGCUUCAAGAUGUGCCCGCGGAAGAUUAGCUUGUUGGUGAGGUAACGGCUCACCAAGGCGACGAUCUUUAGCUGGUCUGAGAGGACGAUCAGCCACACUGGAACUGAGACACGGUCCAGACUCCUACGGGAGGCAGCAGUGGGGAAUCUUGCACAAUGGGCGAAAGCCUGAUGCAGCCAUGCCGCGUGCGUGAUGGAGGCCUUCGGGUUGUAAAGCGCUUUUAGGUGCGACGAUGAUGACGGUAACACCAGAAAAAGCCCCGGCUAACUUCGUGCCAGCAGCCGCGGUAAUACGAAGGGGGCAAGCGUUGUUCGGAUUUACUGGGCGUAAAGGGCGUGUAGGCGGAUGAUAUAGUUAGAGGUGAAAGCCCAGGGCUCAACCUUGGAACUGCCUUUAAUACUUAUCAUCUAGAGUUUGUGAGAGGGUGGCGGAAUAUCCAGUGUAGAGGUGAAAUUCGUAGAUAUUGGAUAGAAUACCAGUGGCGAAGGCGGCCACCUGGCACAACACUGACGCUGAGGCGCGAAAGCGUGGGGAGCAAACAGGAUUAGAUACCCUGGUAGUCCACGCCGUAAACGAUGUAUGCUAGUUGUCGGGUUAUUUUUAACUCGGUGACGCAGCUAACGCAUUAAGCAUACCGCCUGGGGAGUACGGUCGCAAGAUUAAACUCAAAGGAAUUGACG
RNAcentral lists this ribosomal RNA (821 nucleotides) under uncultured bacterium. RNAcentral's name for it is "bacterial SSU rRNA". It matches the Rfam family "Bacterial small subunit ribosomal RNA", at positions 56 to 915 of the family's 1533-position model. The record is from RNAcentral.